This 429-nucleotide ribosomal RNA is filed under the name Gemmatimonadota bacterium. RNAcentral describes it as "Gemmatimonadetes bacterium partial 16S ribosomal RNA". It matches the Rfam family "Bacterial small subunit ribosomal RNA", at positions 355 to 776 of the family's 1533-position model. Lineage: Bacteria; Pseudomonadati; Gemmatimonadota. The record is from RNAcentral.
UAGGGAAUCUUCGGCAAUGGACGAAAGUCUGACCGAGCAACGCCGCGUGAGUGAAGAAGGUUUUCGGAUCGUAAAACUCUGUUGUUAGAGAAGAACAAGGACGUUAGUAACUGAACGUCCCCUGACGGUAUCUAACCAGAAAGCCACGGCUAACUACGUGCCAGCAGCCGCGGUAAUACGUAGGUGGCAAGCGUUGUCCGGAUUUAUUGGGCGUAAAGCGAGCGCAGGCGGUUUCUUAAGUCUGAUGUGAAAGCCCCCGGCUCAACCGGGGAGGGUCAUUGGAAACUGGGAGACUUGAGUGCAGAAGAGGGGAGUGGAAUUCCAUGUGUAGCGGUGAAAUGCGUAGAUAUAUGAAGGAACACCGGUGGCGAAGGCGGCUCUCUGGUCUGUAACUGACGCUGAGGCUCGAAAGCGUGGGGAGCAAACAGG